Long non-coding RNA from Grus americana (Whooping crane), 1251 nucleotides. RefSeq lists it as uncharacterized. The record is from RefSeq and is a predicted model, not a curated record. Lineage: Eukaryota; Metazoa; Chordata; Aves; Gruiformes; Gruidae. The transcript is spliced from 4 exons.
GUCCGCGCUCGCCAGCCGUCCGGCACGGCACCGCCUUGGCGAGGGCUGACAGGGCCAGCCGCCACGCGGGCAGAUGCACGGCGGGCCCCGCGGGCUGGGAGAGGAUCCGCGAACGGCAUUCACCUCAGCGGUGCCCCUGGUCAAGAUACAGAAGAAUAAGAGAUGGCAGAAUGGAAGCUAGAGAUAGCUGGUGUGUAACAGAGCCUAACAGAGGUGAGAGAAGAUACAUGUGAGAUGAAAAUCAGCUUCUGCAGCAGCCGUUCCAGAUGGACUGUUGUGAUUUACAGAGCAAUCAAGACUGUAGGAACCACUGACUGACACCCUGCUACUGACCUGAUCUUUGUCUCUGGUGGAGCUGAGAGCAACUGGCAGCAGAAAGGAAGAUUCUUUGUUAUUCUGGAACAGCCUUUGGACAUAAAUCACUGUUCUCUAAGAUAUCCAGGAUCAUUUUCCUUCUCCUGUAAUGUUUGGUGCCUGGAAAUGAAGUUUUUCGAAGAGGACAGUCAACCCAUAGGGAUGUAAUGCUGAAGCAUGGCUGCUGUGAUGUGACUUUUGGUAACGAGCACAUUUACUGCCAGCACCGGCUUGAGAAAGUGAUGUGUCAUUGUGGACCAAAUGGACUAUCUUACGGUAUUUUGUGUAUCUUUAAACCUGAUGUCAUGGAUUAUGUGGAUAUAUCAUCUUCCACUCGAAGUUUCUAGCUGCAAAUAAAAGCCUACGAAUGUGAACCUUAAAACCUUAGGUCAAAGGGCAAAUAAAAAGUAUUGUAUUUGAAAUUAAGUUUUAAUUUUAAUACAAUUACACAUCAGUACAAACAAUUGUUAGCAUUAUUGCUUCCACCUUCUUUAGAUGUAGUCAGUUUUCUAAUCAAUGCUUAUCUGUGUUGCGGCUGUACUAACUGGUACUCUACUAGUAUGGGUAAAAAAAGAGGAACAACAUUAUUUUUGCAGUAUCUAAACAGAGGAUCUUCCUUGUAACUAAAAUGCGUUGAAGGCCAUUCGUCAUGAAAUGUAUAAUGAUCUCUCUCACUGGGUGCUUUCCUCUAAAAUGAAGUUUUAUUUAUACUUCAAAGGGAAAAAGUACAUAUUUAAGUUCCUCAAGGGCACAGAGAAUGGAAGUCAUUGUGUGGAUAUUUUAAUACAAAUUGCUUCCUGCAUUUCUAAGUGGCAAAUAUAUGAAUAUUCAUAGAAUCACAAGGCCAGAUGAUCAUCCAGUACAUGGCAUACAUGGGAGAAAAAUGGAGGAGAAUGU